Molecule: non-coding RNA, 1872 nt
Organism: Danio rerio (zebrafish)
Lineage: Eukaryota; Metazoa; Chordata; Actinopteri; Cypriniformes; Danionidae
Source: Ensembl
CUGGAUUGAUCUGAAGACAUAAUAUACAAUACACAAGAGAAUGUUGGAAGUAUGAUGCUUACACAACGUUGAACUGAACUCAGAUGAGUGCGUUUCUCUUCUAGUUUACUAAAUAAAACAAAAAUCACGUAAGCCUAAUCUAUCCCCAUCAUGAUAAACUAGUUAGGAAAAAAAAUCUCGUGGUGGGUUUUACAAAGACGAACACAAACUCAAAACUGCAUGCGUUAAUCCCCCCCAUGACACUGCUAGGCAACAGUUUAUAUAGAAAACAAGUCUAUUGAGUAUGCAUUUAGACAACAAAUCGCCAGUGUUGAACAAAAUUUAAAAACGAAUCGGCUGCGAACAAAUCGUUUCUUUAAAAAGAAAGAAAGAAAAGCGGGGCCAUCUUGCUGCAUGCCCUAAAAUUGGGAAAUAAAUGACAUAUAGAGAUAUAUAGAAUAAUAAUAAUAAUAAUAGAACAUGUCCUACAACUAAAGCUGGUCGAGCAAGUCAGGUUUCUGGGAAGAGAUCUUCUUCCUACCUGUUAAGAAUUGAGGUCUUUUAGGUAUGCUUUCACAGUGUCCGCCAUCUCUUGCAUGGCCGGGUGAAUGAGCCCAAUGUGGAAACCGAGAGAACCUGGGGGAGGGGAGCAGCUGCAGAGUCUUUCCCAACCUGCUUUAGUAGCCUCCAUAACCACCCCUGCCGUAACCAGGCCCACCGCCACCACCACGGGGGUAGGGGGCUCCGCUCCUGCCGCCGUAUGUGUUUCCACCUUUCAUGGGACCGUAGCCGGACGACUGCUGGCCGUAUCCGCUGCCAAAGUCACUGUAACCGUUUCCACCGCCAUAGCCCCCCAUCUGCUCACCGUAGCCUCCUCCGUAUCCACCUCCGUAACCGCCACCGUAGCCUCCACUUCCAUAGCUACCGCCGUAGCCGCCAUCGUUUCCGCCGUAUCCUCCGCCAUAGCCGCCCCCGUAGCCGCCGUAGCCUCCUCCUCUACCGCCGCCGAAGCCAUUUUGAUUGCGGCCCAUGCCUCUUCCUCCGCCUCUCCCUCUGCCGCCGCGGGCUCCACCGGCAGCCUGGAUCUCUUGUUUCGUGAGCGCUUUCUUCACCUCCACCUUGUGUCCGUUGAUCAUGUGGAACUUGAGCACGACGGCUUUGUCCGCAGAGUCGUUGUCUUCGAAGUGGACAAAGCCGAAACCACGCUUCUUGCCGGUGUCUUUGUCGGUGAUGACUUCGGAUUUCUCGAUCAUGCCGAACUGCGAGAAAAAUUCGGUGAGGUCUUUUUCCUCGAUGUCAUCUUUUAAGCCACCGACGAAUAUUUUCUUGACUUUGGCGAGAGCUUCGGGCCUUCCGGCGUCUUCACGAGCCACGGCUCUCUUCACCUCCACGUUUUUACCGUCUACAACAUGUGGCCUGGCGGCCAUUGCUGCAUCAGCCUCCUCCGAGGUGGAGUACGUAACGAAGCCGAAACAACGGGAUCGUUGAAGCUGAUCGUUCUGGACCACCACGCAGUCCGUCAGGUUCCCAAACUGCUCAAAAUAAGAGCGGAGACCAUCAUUAGUCGUUUGGACGUUUAGACCGCCAACGAAGAGUUUGCACAGCUUCUCCAUUUCAGACAUUAGUUUGCCGUUAGUGACCGCCGUAAGACUCGACUGCUGCUAAGAAAGAGCCUUUUUUAAAAUGACUGUCGUCAUGACGCAAUGUUCUCUCUCGCCGUAAGACACACCCCAUUCACAGGAAAAAAGGCGGGAUUUGAGGAAUGGUGCUAAAAUUCCACUGAUAGAAAUUUCUAGUUUACAAAUGACUACACUAAAACAAGUCAUGGAUUGAAGUAAACAUGACAAUUUGACGUAGAAACACUGAAAUAAAAUAUUUGCUUAUGAAACAUAA